CUUUUUGGAAAUGUCAAGGUGACUGGCAUAUUAAAAAUGAGCCUUAGCAAACAAGGAUGACAUUCUUCUCAUUCUUUCACUGCUGGGUCAUUUUCUAUGUAAUUCUGGGAUUUAGUGCUUAGACAUCUCUCCCAGUGCACCCAUAAUCCUGCCCAGAAGGACCCUUUCCAAAGAAGAGGAUGAUGUACUAUAGUGAGCCUCAGCCUCUUUGAGUGUGGGAACCCCUUCUUAAUCGCCAAAGGUUCUGUGAACAUGACAAUAAUUAUACCAUGAGAAUGAAUGGAUGCUCAAGAAAAUGCAUAAUGGAAAAAAGCUACUGCAUUUACAAAGUACCCACCCUGUGCCAAGCUGUAUGAAUACAGAAACAAAAGCAAAAUAGUACUGAUCUCAGGACCUGACAGUAUCCUAAAGAAAAAUGAUUUGGACAUAACUUUGGGCAGGAGUCUACUACAAACUCAAAUGGAAAGCAAAAGGAAAAGUCAAAGUAACACUCAUGCUGUGGGUGGUAAGUUCAAAAUUCCUUCUUUUACAAGAGCCUGGUGUUCUUGAGACCUGGCCCAGUUAUUGUUCUUUUGUUUUCCAGAGGGAGACUGUUAUAUGCAAUAGUGAAUAGUCUGAUAUAUCAGAGUCAAAACUUGAAGUUCUCUAAAAUUGUGUGCUUUUCACAGUAUAUUCAUAUGCAUUAUUCUCUUUCAUUCUCCCAACAGCCUUUGGAGAAAGGAAAGGCAUGUAUUAUCAUUACCACUUGACAUAUGAAGAAACUGAGGCACAGAACCAUUAAAGAUACUUAUAGAAUAACCCAGAGGAAGUUAGUGGCAUAGCCCUUUUCUCCUUGAACAGCUUAUGGGUCAGUUCCUCCAUUAAAAUGUAUCAGAAUGACCUAAGAAGCAAAAG
This 894-nucleotide long non-coding RNA is filed under the name Monodelphis domestica (gray short-tailed opossum). RNAcentral describes it as "lncRNA (ENSMODG00000047752.1)". Lineage: Eukaryota; Metazoa; Chordata; Mammalia; Didelphimorphia; Didelphidae. The record is from RNAcentral.